Non-coding RNA from Talaromyces stipitatus ATCC 10500, 491 nucleotides. The record is from Rfam. Lineage: Eukaryota; Fungi; Ascomycota; Eurotiomycetes; Eurotiales; Trichocomaceae.
UUUUUUGAAAAAUGGAAAUAAAUAUUUUAUGAUAACAAGAAUUGAACAGGCUAAUUUGCGCAAGAGAGUACAAAUUGAGUGCGCGGUUUGGCACCUCGAUGUCGGCUUAGCUCAUCCACAUGAAUGCAAAAAUCAUGAAGGGUUCGACUGUUCGUCGAUUAAAGAGCUACAUGAGCUGGGUUUAAUACGUCGUGAGACAGUAUGGUUUCUAUCUUCUAGAGGAAAUUGAAGUAAAAUAAAGAUAGCCCCUUCGUACGAAAGGAGUUGGGUAUGUUGAUCUAUGGUUUACUUGUUGUUUAUAGUGCAAUAUUAUUGCCACUUACUUUUACUUAAGUAAGUUGUUUAUAGGCAUGGCAAGAAAGCUACAUCAAUUAAAGAUAAGUGCUGAAUGCAUUUAAGCGCGAAACUCACUUUAAGAUACUUAUGAACGUAGUAGAACACUACGAUUUAUUAUAAAUAAAAAUUUUUUUUUAUAGUAAAUAGGUUUUAGU